ACACGCAUGUGGGGAGCCAUGCCAGGCACACAGUGGAUGCAACAGGGGAGUUGCUCGUUCUGACCGUGUUCACCAUGUCUCUGAUGCGCAUCUUCUCACGUGAAAUCAGCAUGUGUCUUAAAAUGGACAGAGUAGAAGUUCAACUAGCAACAUUGUGUGCUUCCUACUGGCACAUACGUGAAUGGUGGAGGCUCACGCCUCUCAACCCAGCACUUUGGGAGGCCCAGGCUGGAGGAUCACUUGAGCCCAGGAGUUCAAGACCAGCCUGGGCAACAUGGUGAGACCCUGUCCCUAAAAAAAUUUAAAUUAGCCAGGAGUGGUGGUGUGCACCUGUAGUCCCAGCUACUCAGGAGGCUGAGGCGGGAGGAUCACUUGAGCAUGGAGAUUGAGGCUGCAGUGAGCUGUGAUCCAGCCUGGACAACAGAGCAAGACCCUGCCUCUAAAAAACCAAGUUAAUGGUGGGUGUGUUGUGGACGGCACCCAGGUUGGAAGGAAAGCAGUUAAGUAUUGCUACGAAGCUCAGCUGCACAGCAUGUCACAGAACCCAUCCAGGCUGGGGCUGGAGAGUGCUUUGUGAACCAGAAUUGGCAAUGAUGCUUGGGUGGGCUGGGCCCUGCACUUCCAUCUCCCACCGGGUUAGGUGCCCCAGAACAGGUCUGGGGUGCGCCAGGGGCUCUGAAUCCCCUCAUCCAAGGCUGCCAGGGGACCGGGCUUUCCUGCCAUCUCAGGGACUCUGAGGAGCCAUCGGACAGUCGGAGGGAGAAGAGAGCAAGUGAGGAAGUCACCUCUGGUAUAACUGACAUGAGACUUAGAUAGUUGGGGUCAAGGUGGAUGUAGGGGCACUUUAGCUGGGUGGUCAGUGAGGGCUUCCUGGAGGAGGUGGCAUUUGAGCUAGGACUUGCAUGAUGGGGUGAGCACUUGGGCAGAGGGAACAGCUAGUGCAAGGCCUCAGGUUGGGGAAACAAAAAGAGGCCAAAGUUCAGGGUCCACAGCUCCAGUAGACAGAGCAAAGAUUCAAACUCAGGCCACAGGUCCCCAGGGUCAGGGCACACCCCCUGCACCUCACCAAGUUAUCGACAGGAGGAUGGUGGGGAGGGGAGGCCAGCGUGACAGUGGGCAGGGGGCACUCUGGAGGCAGGGGCUGGGCUCGCUCUGCUGCCCAGGCUGGAGUGCAGUGGCAGCCUCAUGGCUCACUGCAGCCCCGACCUCCUGGGCUCAAGCACUCCUCCUGCCUUGGCCUCCUGAGUAGCUGGGACUGUACAGGCCUGUGCCACUGCACCUGGCUAAUUUUUUAUUUUUAUUUUGCUAGAGAUGGGGUCUCCCUCUGUUGCCCAGGCUGGUCUUAAACCCCUGGGCUCAAGUGUUCUUCCUGCCUCAACCUCCCAAAGUGCUGGGAUGACAGGCGUGAGCCACCGCAACCAGCUAAGACUAUAUUUUUUAGAACAGUUUUGGUUUCACUGCAAAAUUGAGCAGAAGGUAGAGGGAGUUCCGUGUGUCUCCCGCACACACAGCCCCCCGCCAUCAGCUGGCCACCCACGGUAGCCCUGCUCUGACAGUCGUUAUCACCCGGAGUCCGCAGUUCACGUUGGGACUCACUCUUGGCGCUGUGCAUGCUGUGGGUUUGGGCAAAUGGAAGAGGACACAGAUCACCGUGGUGCCAUCACAUGGGGCAGUUUCACUGUCCCCAUAUCUCCCAUUCACCCCUCUAUUCAUCCCACCCGCUGGCAACCACUGCUCUUUUCCUGCCUCCAGGGUUUGGCCUUUCCCAGCUUGUCCGACAGUUGGAAUCAUCGUCUGUGGCCUUUGCAGGCGGCUUCUUUCACUUAGUAACGUGCAUUGUCAUUUCUUCUGUGUCUUCAGAGUUUGGAAGCUCUUUUCCUCUUGGUAUUGAAUAGAGUCCCACUGUCUGGAUGCACCCCGCUGACCCACCCACUCACCGACUGCAGGGCGUCCCGGUUGCUGCCAGGUGAAAUAGGGGCGGGGACAAUCCAGGGACAUCUUUCCCAGCAUGCAUGAACCAGAAAUAACACCAGCGUGUCUGAGAAGAAACGGUGAAGAAAUCCACCCUGGCUGUCUGUCGGGCAGCCCCGGCGAGGAGUUGAGUCCCCUUACCGCUGCGAAUGAGCUGUCCUCCACCCCACGUCGGAGACCUCAGCGCCCGGGGCCCCGGCCUGUUAGCACCUGCAUGCCUUUGACGGCAACCCCUGGCAUAUGCCUGGGCCUCACAGCUAUUGGCGGAGCGCCUACUCUGUUCCAGGCACAGGGCACAGCAGCAACCUGGACCCCCCAGGGGUGGCUCCUCCUCCAUCCCGGCUUCCUGCUGGAACAUGAGCAGGCAAUUCACACAAGAAGCCUGUAAUCCCAGCACUUUGAGAGGUGGAAGCGGGAGGAUGGCUUGAGUCUUGGGAGUUCAAGGCUGCAGUGGGCUGUGAUUGCACCACUGCACUCCAUCCUGGGUGACGGAGCAAGACCCUGUCUCAAAAAAAAACAAAAAAAAAAAAAAGAAAGAAAAAGAAAAAAAAACAACAGAAUAUUAAAAUGAAUAUGUAAAUGCA
This is a long non-coding RNA of Homo sapiens (human), 2555 nucleotides long. RefSeq lists it as uncharacterized. The transcript is spliced from 2 exons. NCBI's taxonomy places the organism in Eukaryota, Metazoa, Chordata, Mammalia, Primates, Hominidae. The record is from RefSeq and is a predicted model, not a curated record.